GGACACUGUGCCUAAGAGUUAAUGAUUCCACUGCUGAUAUUUCCCAGAAUAUUUCAUUCUUUCUUUUCUGUUAGGCAAAGACCCAAGGGGGUUAGGUCUGGAAAGCAACACAAAACAUGAACCACUCCCUCCUUGGACCUUUUCUGCAAGAUGAAGGGAGAGAGCAGAAGGCAUAUGUGAGCUGUUUACCUUUUUUGACCAGUGCAUGGUCUAGAAGGCGUCCCCACUGGCCCCUGUGAACCGUGGAGAUGGCCAGGGCACACUCCUGGGAACACACGAGUGCCAACGUCCCAUGCUGCAGCAGACGGCAAGUGAGCAGAGAGGAAAGCACACAGUCCUUUCUUCUGACCAGGCACUAUUGACCGGGCCUCCUCUUCGGGCAGCCAAGAUUUUCUACAUCAGGGGGUUGAGAUCUUUCCGGAGACAGGCAUGCUGUCUUCAGGGCACAUGGCACACGAAGAUAAGCCUUCAGUUGAGUUGCUUUGCCUCGCUGGGUCUUAGAAGAUCUGGUGAUGUGUG
Molecule: long non-coding RNA, 519 nt
Filed under: Ursus maritimus (polar bear)
Lineage: Eukaryota; Metazoa; Chordata; Mammalia; Carnivora; Ursidae
Description: lncRNA (ENSUMAG00000020212.1)
Source: RNAcentral